UCACCAUCGGGGGUAGAGCACUGUUAUGGCUAGGGGGUCAUCGCGACUUACCAACCCAUUGCAAACUCCGAAUACCGAUGAGUGCGAGCUUGGGAGACAGACGUCGGGUGCUAACGUCCGGCGUCAAGAGGGAAACAACCCAGACCGCCAGCUAAGGUCCCAAAGAUUGGCUAAGUGGAAAACGAAGUGGGAAGGCUAAAACAGUCAGGAGGUUGGCUUAGAAGCAGCCAUCCUUUAAAGAAAGCGUAAUAGCUCACUGAUCGAGUCGUCCUGCGCGGAAGAUGUAACGGGGCUAAGCCAGUCACCGAAGCUGCGGAUAUCAAUUUAUUGAUAUGGUAGGAGAGCGUUCUGUAAGCCUGCGAAGGUGUCUUGUAAAGGAUGCUGGAGGUAUCAGAAGUGCGAAUGCUGACAUGAGUAGCGAUAAUGGGGGUGAAAAGCCUCCACGCCGUAAGCCCAAGGUUUCCUGUUCAACGUUCAUCGGAGCAGGGUGAGUCGGCCCCUAAGGCGAGGCAGAGAUGCGUAGCUGAUGGGAAGCAGGUUAAUAUUCCUGCACCGUCGUUAGAUGCGAUGGGGGGACGGAUCGCGGAAGGUUGUCCGGGUGUUGGAAGUCCCGGUUUCUGUAUCAGAGAAGGCUGUUAGGCAAAUCCGGCAGCGUAAUUCAAGGGUAUGGGACGAGUGAACUUGUUCACGAAGCAAUCGGAAGUGGUUCCAAGAAAAGCCUCUAAGCUUCAGUCUAACGAGACCGUACCGCAAACCGACACAGGUGGGCGAGAUGAGUAUUCUAAGGCGCUUGAGAGAACUCGGGAGAAGGAACUCGGCAAAUUUGUACCGUAACUUCGGGAUAAGGUACGCCCUAGUAAUUUGACAGGCCUGCGCUUGAAGGAUGAAAGGGUUGCAAUAAAAAGGUGGCUGCGACUGUUUAAUAAAAACACAGCACUCUGCAAACACGAAAGUGGACGUAUAGGGUGUGACGCCUGCCCGGUGCUGGAAGAUUAAAUGAUGGGGUGCAAGCUCUUGAUUGAAGUCCCAGUAAACGGCGGCCGUAACUAUAACGGUCCUAAGGUAGCGAAAUUCCUUGUCGGGUAAGUUCCGACCUGCACGAAUGGCGUAACGAUGGCCACACUGUCUCCUCCCGAGACUCAGCGAAGUUGAAAUGUUUGUGAUGAUGCAAUCUACCCGCGGCUAGACGGAAAGACCCCAUGAACCUUUACUGUAGCUUUGCAUUGGACUUUGAACCAAUCUGUGUAGGAUAGGUGGGAGGCUUUGAAGCGGGGACGCUAGUUCUCGUGGAGCCAUCCUUGAAAUACCACCCUGGUUUGUUUGAGGUUCUAACCUUGGUCCGUUAUCCGGAUCGGGGACAGUGCAUGGUAGGCAGUUUGACUGGGGCGGUCUCCUCCCAAAGUGUAACGGAGGAGUUCGAAGGUACGCUAGGUACGGUCGGACAUCGUGCUAAUAGUGCAAUGGCAUAAGCGUGCUUAACUGCGAGACUGACAAGUCGAGCAGGUACGAAAGUAGGACAUAGUGAUCCGGUGGUUCUGUAUGGAAGGGCCAUCGCUCAACGGAUAAAAGGUACUCUGGGGAUAACAGGCUGAUUCCUCCCAAGAGUUCAUAUCGACGGGGGAGUUUGGCACCUCGAUGUCGGCUCAUCACAUCCUGGGGCUGUAGCCGGUCCCAAGGGUAUGGCUGUUCGCCAUUUAAAGUGGUACGUGAGCUGGGUUUAAAACGUCGUGAGACAGUUUGGUCCCUAUCUGCCGUGGGCGUUGGAAGUUUGAAGGGGGCUGCUCCUAGUACGAGAGGACCGGAGUGGACGAACCUCUGGUGUAUCGGUUGUCACGCCAGUGGCAUUGCCGAGUAGCUAAGUUCGGAAGAGAUAACCGCUGAAAGCAUCUAAGCGGGAAACUCGCCUUAAGAUGAGACUUCCCGGGAACUAGAUUCCCCUAAAGGGUCGUUCGAGACCAGGACGUUGAUAGGUCAGGUGUGGAAGUGCAGUAAUGCAUUAAGCUAACUGAUACUAAUUGCCCGUGCGGCUUGUUCCU
Molecule: ribosomal RNA, 2036 nt
Filed under: Triticum dicoccoides
Lineage: Eukaryota; Viridiplantae; Streptophyta; Magnoliopsida; Poales; Poaceae
Description: bacterial LSU rRNA
Rfam family: Bacterial large subunit ribosomal RNA
Source: RNAcentral